This 638-nucleotide ribosomal RNA is filed under the name uncultured bacterium. Its description in RNAcentral is "bacterial SSU rRNA". It matches the Rfam family "Bacterial small subunit ribosomal RNA", at positions 79 to 715 of the family's 1533-position model. The record is from RNAcentral.
CUUCAAUUGCCGGCGACCGGCGCACGGGUGAGUAACGCGUAUCCAACCUUCCGUACACUCAGGGAUAGCCUUUCGAAGGAAAGAUUAAUACCUGAUGGUAUGAUGAGAUUGCAUGAUAGCAUCAUUAAAGAUUUAUCGGUGUACGAUGGGGAUGCGUUCCAUUAGGUAGUAGGCGGGGUAACGGCCCACCUAGCCAACGAUGGAUAGGGGUUCUGAGAGGAAGGUCCCCCACAUUGGAACUGAGACACGGUCCAAACUCCUACGGGAGGCAGCAGUGAGGAAUAUUGGUCAAUGGACGAGAGUCUGAACCAGCCAAGUAGCGUGAAGGAUGAAGGUCCUACGGAUUGUAAACUUCUUUUAUAAGGGAAUAAACCCUCCCACGUGUGGGAGCUUGUAUGUACCUUAUGAAUAAGCAUCGGCUAACUCCGUGCCAGCAGCCGCGGUAAUACGGAGGAUGCGAGCGUUAUCCGGAUUUAUUGGGUUUAAAGGGAGCGCAGACGGGUCGUUAAGUCAGCUGUGAAAGUUUGGGGCUCAACCUUAAAAUUGCAGUUGAUACUGGCGUCCUUGAGUGCGGUUGAGGUGUGCGGAAUUCGUGGUGUAGCGGUGAAAUGCUUAGAUAUCACGAAGAACUCCGAUUG